Molecule: small RNA, 857 nt
Filed under: Pongo abelii (Sumatran orangutan)
Lineage: Eukaryota; Metazoa; Chordata; Mammalia; Primates; Hominidae
Description: retained intron
Source: RNAcentral
GGGCCCGGCGCCCUCCCUCUCCCACUUCUUCUCCCAUCAGGAACCAGCCGGAGGCCGCCAGGGUGCUCCUGAAUGCUGGGUGCCGGGCGGAUGCUCUCAACAGCACUCAGAGCACAGCGCUGCACGUGGCCGUGCAGAGGGGCUUCCUGGAGGUGGUGCGCGCUCUGUGUGAGCGCGGCUGUGACGUCAACCUGCCCGACGCCCACUCGGACACGCCCCUGCACUCCGCCAUCUCGGCGGGCACUGGAGCCAGCGGCAUUGUCGAGGUCCUCACGGAGGUGCCAAACAUCGAUGUCACCGCCACCAACAGCCAGGGUUUCACCCUGCUUCACCAUGCCUCCCUCAAGGGCCAUGCGCUAGCUGUGAGAAAGAUUCUGGCUCGGGCGCGGCAGCUGGUGGACGCCAAGAAGGAGGACGGCUUCACGGCGCUGCACCUGGCCGCGCUCAACAACCACCGCGAGGUGGCGCAGAUCCUCAUCCGGGAGGGCCGCUGUGACGUGAAUGUGCGCAACCGGAAGCUGCAGUCCCCGCUGCAUCUAGCCGUGCAGCAGGCCCACGUGGGGCUGGUGCCACUACUGGUGGACGCUGGGUGCAGUGUCAACGCCGAGGACGAGGAGGGGGACACAGCCCUGCACGUGGCGCUGCAGCGUCAUCAGCUGCUGCCCCUGGUGGCUGAUGGUGCCGGGGGGGACCCAGGGCCCUUGCAGCUGCUGUCCAGGCUGCAGGCCUCGGGCCUCCCUGGCAGCGCGGAGCUGACGGUGGGCGCGGCGGUCGCCUGCUUCCUGGCGCUGGAGGGCGCCGACGUGAGCUACACCAACCACCGCGGCCGGAGCCCGCUGGACCUGGCCGCCGAGGGC